GGACCUCACCGCACGUGUACUCACAUCCACGAGGCCUGACAGUGCGAGCACGGUAGCGCUUCUUGUGUUCCUUUCAUCAGCUUAGUUUUUGGAACUCACAUACUGUGCGCAGUGCGCUCCGCCUUGCCAUGCCGCCGCGCACCUCGACCCUUGUGUACGAAGGCGAACCAUACUGGAUGAUGUGCUUGCGUGAGUACGUCAUCCCUGGUGUCGUGUUCAUCGUUAUGCUGCACUACCUUAUUGCCCAUGUCUUUCUGCCAAUGCGUCGCAUUAUCCGACCAACUCGUCAGUCUCCUGAGGAAGUAACGGGCGCACAAGACGGCGGCGAAGCGGCCAGCAGUGAUCAUGUUUCGGCGCGAUCCUGCUCAAAGGCGAAGAAGGGAGCGUAGCGUGCAAUGGAUGUCGCGUGCACACGCUCGCGUUUCUCACUGUCAUGCCGUGCGUAUCGACCGAGGAAAAGUAGAAGAGCGCCGCCGUGUCGAGGGCGUGAUGCUGUCCGUCGGUGUGGCGAUGUGUGUAUAUGUGUGUUCCUUGACAUUUGACAUCACAGCCUCGUCACCGUGGCGUCUCUGGCGGAUUCUGCUUCUUCGCACCUCGCGCUUCCCUCCGUACCUGAGCCUUGGGAAAGGCUCGCGCCGCCACAGCCACAGCCGUUCAUCUGAUGCGCAGACAAUGCGGAGAAUCACAUUCCCACGAACUGGGCAGGCCCACGAGAGCGAGGGAGGGGGGAGGGCAGGGAGGUGUGCCAGGUAGCGAUGCAUUAAAUAGCGUGCGCAUGGCUCUCUAAGGGAACACACCGGAUCGUUAGCAUGGCACAGUCAGUGUCCCCCUCCGGCUUGCUCUGUCGGUCUGUCUAUGUCGACUGCAACGCCGUUGUGGCACCGCUCUCAUCUUGCUUUUAUUUCCUUCAUGCUCCGCAGCGUCUCAUCUUAAGGAAUGAAGCGCAGUGCGUCGCUCGCUCUUGG
This 965-nucleotide unclassified non-coding RNA is filed under the name Leishmania donovani. Its description in RNAcentral is "gene:unknown". Lineage: Eukaryota; Euglenozoa; Kinetoplastea; Trypanosomatida; Trypanosomatidae. The record is from RNAcentral.